This 792-nucleotide ribosomal RNA is filed under the name uncultured bacterium. RNAcentral describes it as "bacterial SSU rRNA". It matches the Rfam family "Bacterial small subunit ribosomal RNA", at positions 51 to 843 of the family's 1533-position model. The record is from RNAcentral.
ACACAUGCAAGUCGAACGAAGCACUUAAGUUUGAUUCUUCGGAUGAAGACUUUUGUGACUGAGUGGCGGACGGGUGAGUAACGCGUGGGUAACCUGCCUCAUACAGGGGGAUAACAGUUAGAAAUGGCUGCUAAUACCGCAUAAGACCACAGCACCGCAUGGUGCAGGGGUAAAAACUCCGGUGGUAUGAGAUGGACCCGCGUCUGAUUAGCUGGUUGGUGGGGUAACGGCCUACCAAGGCGACGAUCAGUAGCCGACCUGAGAGGGUGACCGGCCACAUUGGGACUGAGACACGGCCCAAACUCCUAUGGGAGGCAGCAGUGGGGAAUAUUGCACAAUGGGGGAAACCCUGAUGCAGCGACGCCGCGUGAAGGAUGAAGUAUUUCGGUAUGUAAACUUCUAUCAGCAGGGAAGAAAAUGACGGUACCUGACUAAGAAGCCCCGGCUAACUACGUGCCAGCAGCCGCGGUAAUACGUAGGGGGCAAGCGUUAUCCGGAUUUACUGGGUGUAAAGGGAGCGUAGACGGUAUGGCAAGUCUGAUGUGAAAGGCCAGGGCUCAACCCUGGGACUGCAUUGGAAACUGUCGAACUAGAGUGUCGGAGAGGCAAGUGGAAUUCCUAGUGUAGCGGUGAAAUGCGUAGAUAUUAGGAGGAACACCAGUGGCGAAGGCGGCUUGCUGGACGAUGACUGACGUUGAGGCUCGAAAGCGUGGGGAGCAAACAGGAUUAGAUACCCUGGUAGUCCACGCCGUAAACGAUGACUACUAGGUGUCGGGUAGCAGAGCUAUUCGG